This 74-nucleotide transfer RNA is filed under the name Candidatus Anammoximicrobium sp. RNAcentral describes it as "tRNA-His". It matches the Rfam family "tRNA". From Rfam's summary of the family: Transfer RNA (tRNA) molecules are approximately 80 nucleotides in length. Their secondary structure includes four short double-helical elements and three loops (D, anti-codon, and T loops). Lineage: Bacteria; Pseudomonadati; Planctomycetota; Planctomycetia; Pirellulales; Pirellulaceae. The record is from RNAcentral.
GUGGCUGUAGCUCAGCUGGAUAGAGCAUCAGAUUGUGGCUCUGAGGGUCGGGGGUUCGAAUCCCCUCAGCCACC